RNAcentral lists this ribosomal RNA (628 nucleotides) under Ephydatia muelleri. RNAcentral's name for it is "SSU rRNA". It matches the Rfam family "Eukaryotic small subunit ribosomal RNA", at positions 356 to 992 of the family's 1831-position model. Lineage: Eukaryota; Metazoa; Porifera; Demospongiae; Spongillida; Spongillidae. The record is from RNAcentral.
CGGGUGACGGAGAAUUGGGGUUCGAUUCCGGAGAGGGAGCCUGAGAAACGGCUACCACAUCCAAGGAAGGCAGCAGGCGCGCAAAUUACCCAAUCCCGACUCGGGGAGGUAGUGACAAUAAAUAACAAUGCCGGGCUAUCUUUAGUCUGGCAAUUGGAAUGAGAACAAUGUAAAUACCUUAACGAGGAACAAUUGGAGGGCAAGUCUGGUGCCAGCAGCCGCGGUAAUUCCAGCUCCAAUAGCGUAUAUUAAAGUUGUUGCAGUUAAAAAGCUCGUAGUUGGAUUUCGGGGCAGGAGGUCCGGUCCGCCGAAAGGUAGGUACUGGACGCCAGCCCUUUUUCUCGAAGGCCCCAUCUGCUCUUCACUGAGUGGUAGGGGAGUUCGGGACGUUUACUUUGAAAAAAUUAGAGUGUUCAAGGCAGGCCGUCGCUUGAAUACGUUAGCAUGGAAUAAUGGAAUAGGACUUCGGUUCUAUUUCGUUGGUUUCUGGGACCGAAGUAAUGAUUAAGAGGGACAGUUGGGGGCAUUCGUAUUCAAUUGUCAGAGGUGAAAUUCUUGGAUUUAUGGAAGACGAACAACUGCGAAAGCAUUUGCCAAGGAUGUUUUCAUUAAUCAAGAACGAAAGUUG